RNAcentral lists this ribosomal RNA (398 nucleotides) under uncultured bacterium. Its description in RNAcentral is "partial 16S ribosomal RNA". It matches the Rfam family "Bacterial small subunit ribosomal RNA", at positions 523 to 918 of the family's 1533-position model. The record is from RNAcentral.
AUACGUAGGGUGCGAGCGUUGUCCGGAAUUACUGGGCGUAAAGAGCUCGUAGGUGGUUUGUCGCGUCGUCUGUGAAAUUCCGGGGCUUAACUCCGGGCGUGCGGGCGAUACGGGCAUAACUUGAGUACUGUAGGGGAGACUGGAAUUCCUGGUGUAGCGGUGAAAUGCGCAGAUAUCAGGAGGAACACCGGUGGCGAAGGCGGGUCUCUGGGCAGUAACUGACGCUGAGGAGCGAAAGCAUGGGUAGCGAACAGGAUUAGAUACCCUGGUAGUCCAUGCCGUAAACGGUGGGCGCUAGGUGUAGGGGUCUUCCACGACUUCUGUGCCGUAGCUAACGCAUUAAGCGCCCCGCCUGGGGAGUACGGCCGCAAGGCUAAAACUCAAAUGAAUUGACGGGG